GAUGAACGCUGGCGGCGUGCCUAAUACAUGCAAGUCGAGCGAACAGACGAGGAGCUUGCUCCUCUGACGUUAGCGGCGGACGGGUGAGUAACACGUGGAUAACCUACCUAUAAGACUGGGAUAACUUCGGGAAACCGGAGCUAAUACCGGAUAAUAUAUCGAACCGCAUGGUUCAAUAGUGAAAGACGGUUUUGCUGUCACUUAUAGAUGGAUCCGCGCCGCAUUAGCUAGUUGGUAAGGUAACGGCUUACCAAGGCAACGAUGCGUAGCCGACCUGAGAGGGUGAUCGGCCACACUGGAACUGAGACACGGUCCAGACUCCUACGGGAGGCAGCAGUAGGGAAUCUUCCGCAAAGGGCGAAAGCUUGACGGAGCAACGCCGCGUGAGUGAUGAAGGUCUUCGGAUCGUAAAACUCUGUUAUUAGGGAAGAACAAAUGUGUAAGUAACUAUGCACGUCUUGACGGUACCUAAUCAGAAAGCCACGGCUAACUACGUG
This 497-nucleotide ribosomal RNA is filed under the name uncultured bacterium. Its description in RNAcentral is "partial 16S ribosomal RNA". It matches the Rfam family "Bacterial small subunit ribosomal RNA", at positions 28 to 507 of the family's 1533-position model. The record is from RNAcentral.